GUGAGCCGUAUGAUAGGCAACUAUCUCUUGUGGUUCGGAGAGGACACAGUUGUUAGUUAGUAUGCCCUCGAAACUUUAU
Eucalyptus grandis is the source of this 79-nucleotide non-coding RNA. The record is from Rfam. NCBI's taxonomy places the organism in Eukaryota, Viridiplantae, Streptophyta, Magnoliopsida, Myrtales, Myrtaceae.